This 45-nucleotide non-coding RNA is filed under the name Trichobilharzia regenti. Lineage: Eukaryota; Metazoa; Platyhelminthes; Trematoda; Strigeidida; Schistosomatidae. The record is from RNAcentral.
GUACUGUUGAAGAGCCCCAAACAGGACAAAACAGCUGUCCAGUAC